GAUUGGUCCGAGUACAGUGGUAUUUACAACUAAUUGAUUACAACCAGUUACAGAUUCCUUUGUUUCUUCUCCACUCCCACUGCUUCACUUGACCAGACUUAA
Molecule: Y RNA, 102 nt
Filed under: Prolemur simus (greater bamboo lemur)
Lineage: Eukaryota; Metazoa; Chordata; Mammalia; Primates; Lemuridae
Description: Y RNA (ENSPSMG00000006072.1)
Rfam family: Y RNA
About the family: Y RNAs are components of the Ro ribonucleoprotein particle (Ro RNP), in association with Ro60 and La proteins. The Y RNAs and Ro60 and La proteins are well conserved, but the function of the Ro RNP is not known.
Source: Rfam by way of RNAcentral